RNAcentral lists this ribosomal RNA (1335 nucleotides) under Aedes notoscriptus. RNAcentral describes it as "large subunit ribosomal RNA". The stretch from base 1078 to 1237 matches the Rfam family "Archaeal large subunit ribosomal RNA", at positions 2544 to 2703 of the family's 2987-position model. The record is from RNAcentral. Lineage: Eukaryota; Metazoa; Arthropoda; Insecta; Diptera; Culicidae.
UUAAAUUUUAUUUAUUAAUUAUAUAAGUAUAUUUAAACUUAUUUAAUAAAAAUAAUUUUAUAAUUUUUUGUUGUAGUAUUUUUUAAAGAAAAAAUAAUUUUAAUAAUAGUUUAUUAGUAUUGUAAAAGAAAAUUUAAAUAAUUUGAAAAAUUUUUAUUUUAAAAGAAAAUUUUAUUUAUUGUACCUUGUGUAUCAGGGUUUAUUAAUUAAUUAAUUAUUAUAAUAAUUUUUCUCGAAUUUUAAAGAUUUAAUUAUAUAUAAAAGUUAUUGUAGCAUAAAUAUUUUAAAUAUAUAGUUAGAAAUGAAAUGUUAAUCGUUUUAAAAUAUAUCUAGUUUUUUAAGAAAUAAAUUUAAUUUAGAUUUAUAAAUUAAAAAUAUUAUUUUUUUAAUAUUUUUAAUUUAUAAAAUUAAUAUUUUAAGGGAUUAGCUUUAAAAUAAAUUUUUAAAUUUAAAAUAAAAUAUUUAAUAAAUGUAAGCUUAAAAAUAGUUAUCUUUAAUAAAUUUGUUAUAAUUUAUUUUAAUUUUUUAUUAUUUAUUUUUAAAUUAAAUUAUUUAUUAAAAUAUAAAUUUUAAUAAUUAAAAUUUAUUAAUUAUGAUAAAAUUAGUAUAUAAAAUUUGUUUAAAUUAUUUAAUAUGAAAGGUUUAAGUAAGGAAUUCGGCAAAAAAUAUAUUCACCUGUUUAUCAAAAACAUGUCUUUUUGAAUUUAAUUUAAAGUCUAACCUGCCCACUGAUAAUAUUAAAGGGCCGCAGUAUUUUGACUGUGCGAAGGUAGCAUAAUCAAUAGUCUUUUAAUUGGAGGCUUGUAUGAAUGGUUGAAUGAGAUAUAUACUGUCUUUUUUAAAUUUUUAUAGAAUUUUAUUUUUUAAUUAAAAAGUUAAAAUAUAAUUAAAGGACGAGAAGACCCUAUAGAUCUUUAUUUUUGUUAAUUAUAAAUUAAAAAGAAUAAUUAAAUUUAUAUUUUAAUAAAAAAUUUUACUGGGGUGGUAUUAAAAUUUAAAUAACUUUUAUUAUUUAUUUACAUUAAUAUAUGAAUAAUUGAUCCAAUUAUAUUGAUUAAAAAAUUAAGUUACCUUAGGGAUAACAGCGUAAUUUUUUUUUAGAGUUCAUAUCGACAAAAAAGAUUGCGACCUCGAUGUUGGAUUAAGAGUUAUUUUUAGGUGUAGAAGUUUAAAGUUUAGGUCUGUUCGACCUUUGAAUUCUUACAUGAUCUGAGUUCAAACCGGUGUAAGCCAGGUUGGUUUCUAUCCUUAAUUAAAUUAUUAUAUUAUAGUACGAAAGGACCUAAUAUAAAAAAUAUAAAUUUUAAAAUUAUGAUUAAUAUUAAUAUUUAAUAA